RNAcentral lists this long non-coding RNA (531 nucleotides) under Equus asinus (donkey). RNAcentral describes it as "lncRNA (ENSEASG00005035774.1)". Lineage: Eukaryota; Metazoa; Chordata; Mammalia; Perissodactyla; Equidae. The record is from RNAcentral.
UAUAAAACCAAUGGAAAAAAUCACACACUAAAUAAAAUAGCACGUAUUUGGUUUACUUGUCUCAUAUAUAUGAGACUCACUGUCUAUGUGAUGUUGACCGCACAGCCAAAGUAAAACUAACAGAAUCAGAAGAGAAUUCUAAGAAAAGCAAGAAAAGUGAUUGGACAUGCUUUGAGAUAAAAACAUGCCCAAUGAUUCCAGGGUAAGGGACAACUUUAGAAGAUACAAAUUGGCUUCCUGGUGAGCAGCGAUCUUCCUAAGUCCAUGGGGCAGUUGUUCCUCUCCUGCCCCAAACAUCACGUCUAGAGGAGGCUGCCAUUCUGAUUUGUUCAAGGUGUGGACACAAGACCCAUGUGACAGUGGAGGCCAAGGGUGAAAGGAGUUGCCGCUCAGAAGACAGCCGUCCAGGGAGCUGCCCCACCUGCUUUGGACUGUCAUGAAAACAACUGAUUCAUACUGGUGGUUUUCUCCUUACUCAUCAUUGAAUGGGAGAAGUUCUGUCCAGACCUGCUGUCCCUAAAUAAUCCAUAG